GGAACUCCUGAGUCCAAGAGCUGGGGGAAUGCUGGAAACAAGGAGAAGGAAGGCAGAGAAUGCUUGUGGAGGCAGCAAGGAAUAAAUAGAUGCAAGAAUAUUGGAAGGUGUCAUAAGAGGGAUAAGGAACCAAUCGCACCUCUGUCUCGCCCCAUCCCCUCUCCAGGCUUGGGAGCAGAUCCACACCACUACAGCUAUGAUUUGGAAGGAGCACAGCCAUCACUGAUGUCACAACAGUCCCCGCAAUUCCACAGCACAGUGUUGAUUUCAUUGCACCACAGUGUAGCUCUAGGAGUGAGUAAAAGCUCCCUGAGGCCUCCCAGAAGCUGAGAAAAUGCUGAUACGAUACUUCCUGUACAGCCUGCAGAACUGUAAGCCAAUUAAACGUCUUUUCUUUAUAAAUUA
Molecule: long non-coding RNA, 405 nt
Filed under: Homo sapiens (human)
Lineage: Eukaryota; Metazoa; Chordata; Mammalia; Primates; Hominidae
Description: HSALNT0358326
Source: RNAcentral